ACGAACGCUGGCGGCGUGCUUAACACAUGCAAGUCGAACGGUGAAGCGCCUUCCUUUUUGGUGGGUGUGGAUGAGUGGCGAACGGGUGAGUAACACGUGAGUAACCUGCCCCCUUCUUCUGGAUAACCGCAUGAAAGUGUGGCUAAUACGGGAUAUUCUGGGUCUGUCGCAUGAUGGGUCUGGGAAAGAUAUUGUUUCGGUGGGGGAUGGGCUCGCGGCCUAUCAGCUUGUUGGUGGGGUGAUGGCCUACCAAGGCGGUGACGGGUAGCCGGCCUGAGAGGGUGGACGGGCACACUGGGGCUGAGACACGGCCCAGACUCCUACGGGAGGCAGCAGUGGGGAAUAUUGCACAAUGGGCGCAAGCCUGAUGCAGCGACGCCGCGUGAGGGAUGGAGGCCUUCGGGUUGUGAACCUCUUUCGCCAGUGAAGCAGGCCUGCCUCGUUUGUGGGUGGGUUGACGGUAGCUGGAUAAGAAGCGCCGGCUAACUACGUG
RNAcentral lists this ribosomal RNA (493 nucleotides) under uncultured bacterium. RNAcentral's name for it is "partial 16S ribosomal RNA". It matches the Rfam family "Bacterial small subunit ribosomal RNA", at positions 29 to 507 of the family's 1533-position model. The record is from RNAcentral.